Molecule: non-coding RNA, 45 nt
Organism: Schistosoma rodhaini
Lineage: Eukaryota; Metazoa; Platyhelminthes; Trematoda; Strigeidida; Schistosomatidae
Source: Rfam
AUUCAGCUGACGAGUCCUAAAGAGGACGAAACGCGCUUCCUGGAU